AUCUUCAGGGCGGGGUGUAAGUCCCCACUGGCGGUAAAGUCCGCGACCCGCAGUUUCAAACUGCGGCUGACCCGGUGCGAUUCCGGGACCAACAGUAAAAGUCUGGAUGGAAGAAGAG
RNAcentral lists this non-coding RNA (118 nucleotides) under uncultured Fusicatenibacter sp. RNAcentral describes it as "FMN riboswitch (RFN element)". It matches the Rfam family "FMN riboswitch aptamer (RFN element)". Rfam says of the family: The RFN element is a highly conserved domain that is found frequently in the 5'-untranslated regions of prokaryotic mRNAs that encode for flavin mononucleotide (FMN) biosynthesis and transport proteins. This element is a metabolite-dependent riboswitch that directly binds FMN in the absence of proteins. Lineage: Bacteria; Bacillati; Bacillota; Clostridia; Lachnospirales; Lachnospiraceae. The record is from RNAcentral.